GCAGGAAGUAGGAGUGUUGUGAGCAGUCUUUGACCAGACACACCACUCCACAGCCCACAUUCCUCCAGCCCUGAUGUCCAGCCCUUUCACCGGCAGGACUUCAUGUGUGAUGACUUGGACUGAUAACCGGGCGGUGACUUCACUUUGAAAGGUGUGAAUGUGUCUCUAGUGUCUCUGAGGAGUUAGACUGACCUUACACUGGGCUCCCAGGAGAGUGAAGAGCAAGGCAUUC
Esox lucius (northern pike) is the source of this 232-nucleotide long non-coding RNA. RefSeq lists it as uncharacterized. Lineage: Eukaryota; Metazoa; Chordata; Actinopteri; Esociformes; Esocidae. The transcript has 3 exons. The record is from RefSeq and is a predicted model, not a curated record.